This 433-nucleotide ribosomal RNA is filed under the name uncultured bacterium. RNAcentral describes it as "partial 16S ribosomal RNA". It matches the Rfam family "Bacterial small subunit ribosomal RNA", at positions 29 to 507 of the family's 1533-position model. The record is from RNAcentral.
AACGAACGCUGGCGGCAUGCCUAACGCAUGCAAGUCGAACGAGACCUUCGGGUCUAGUGGCGCACGGGUGCGUAACGCGUGGGAACCUGCCCUUAGGUUCGGAAUAACUCCCCGAAAGGGGUGCUAAUACCGGAUAAUGUCUUCGGACCAAAGAUUUAUCGCCUUUGGAUGGGCCCGCGUUGGAUUAGCUAGUUGGUAGGGUAAAAGCCUACCAAGGCGACGAUCCAUAGCUGGUCUGAGAGGAUGAUCAGCCACACUGGGACUGAGACACGGCCCAGACUCCUACGGGAGGCAGCAGUGGUGAAUAUUGGACAAUGGGCGAAAGCCUGAUCCAGCAAUGCCGCGUGAGUGAUGAAGGCCUUAGGGUUGUAAAGCUCUUUUACCCGGGAUGAUAAUGACAGUACCGGGAGAAUAAGCUCCGGCUAACUCCGUG